CUUUGUUGCCAGGCUGGAGUGCAGUGGUACAGUCUUGGCUCACUGCAGCCUCAAACUCCUGGGCACAAGCAAUCCUCCCACCUCAGACUCCCAAGUAGCUGGGAUUAUAGGUGUGAUGCCUCACCACACCCAGCUAAUUUUUGUAUUUUUUGUAGAGACAGAUUUUCACUAUGUUGGCCAGGCUGGUCUUGAACUCCUGGCCUCAGGUAAUCCACCCACCUCGGCCUCCCAAAGUGCUGGGAUGACAGGGUUGAGCCACCAUGCCUGUUGGUUGCCUUUUUACUCUAUCAAUAGUAUUUUUUCAUGCUCAAGAGUGUUGAUUUUAAUGUAGUCUAGUUGUCUAUUUUUUUUUCCUUUUUGUUGCCUGUGCUUUGGGUGUCAUAUCUAAUUAAUCAUUGCCAAAUCUAGUGUUAUGAAGUUUUCUCACAUGUUUUCUUCUGAGAGUGUAUGGUUUUAGUGCUUAUCCUCAGGUUGCUUACCCAUUUUGAGUUAUUUUUUGGCGAUGGUGUGAAGGAAGGGCCCAGCUUCGCUGCUCUGCACAUGGAAUGAGUUCCCAGCUCUGCUUGUUGGAGACACUGUCCUUUCCCCACUGGAUGGUCUGGCACCAUCGUCAAGAAUGGUUUGACUAGCUAAUGCUUUUUUGCAGGUUUUUGUUGAAAUGUGGCUUCAUCACUAUUCCUUGGAGAUGUAUCAAAAAAUGCAGUCCCCUCACACCAAGGUGAGUCGUUC
This 729-nucleotide long non-coding RNA is filed under the name Pan troglodytes (chimpanzee). Its description in RNAcentral is "long non-coding RNA NONPTRT011237". The record is from RNAcentral. Lineage: Eukaryota; Metazoa; Chordata; Mammalia; Primates; Hominidae.